RNAcentral lists this ribosomal RNA (253 nucleotides) under uncultured bacterium. RNAcentral's name for it is "partial 16S ribosomal RNA". It matches the Rfam family "Bacterial small subunit ribosomal RNA", at positions 524 to 776 of the family's 1533-position model. The record is from RNAcentral.
UACGUAGGGGGCAAGCGUUGUCCGGAUUUACUGGGCGUAAAGAGCGUGUAGGCGGCCAGGCAGGUCUGUUGUGAAAACUGGAGGCUUAACCUCCAGACGUCGACAGAAACCGUCUGGCUAGAGUCCGGAAGAGGAGAAUGGAAUUCCCGGUGUAGCGGUGAAAUGCGCAGAUAUCAGGAAGAACACCUAUGGCGAAAGCAGCUCUCUGGGACGGUACUGACGCUGAGACGCGAAAGCGUGGGGAGCGAACAGG